CAAAGAUUAAGCCAUGCAUGUCUCAGUACAAGCCAAAUUAAGGUGAAACCGCGAAAGGCUCAUUAAAUCAGUUAUGGUUCCUUAGAUCGUACCCACAUUUACUUGGAUAACUGUGGUAAUUCUAGAGCUAAUACAUGCAAACAGAGCUCCGACCGGAGACGGAAGGAGCGCUUUUAUUAGAUCAAAACCAAUCGGUGGCGGGUCUCCCGUCACCGUACACCUUGGUGACUCUGAAUAACUUAUUGCUGAUCGCACGGUCUCGCACCGGCGACGCAUCUUUCAAAUGUCUGCCUUAUCAACUGUCGAUGGUAGGUUCUGCGCCUACCAUGGUUGUAACGGGUAACGGGGAAUCAGGGUUCGAUUCCGGAGAGGGAGCCUGAGAAACGGCUACCACAUCCAAGGAAGGCAGCAGGCGCGCAAAUUACCCACUCCCGGCACGGGGAGGUAGUGACGAAAAAUAACGAUACGGGACUCAUCCGAGGCCCCGUAAUCGGAAUGAGUACACUCUAAACCCUUUAACGAGGAUCAAUUGGAGGGCAAGUCUGGUGCCAGCAGCCGCGGUAAUUCCAGCUCCAAUAGCGUAUAUUAAAGUUGUUGCGGUUAAAAAGCUCGUAGUCGAAUUUGUGUCCCGCGCCGCCGGUUCAUCGCUCGCGGUGUCAACUGGCGUGUCCGCGGGACGUCCUGCCGGUGGGCUUAGCCCCUCGCGGGCGGCCCAAUCUCAAUCCCACCGCGGUGCUCUUCAUUGAGUGUCGAGGUGGGCCGGCACGUUUACUUUGAACAAAUUAGAGUGCUUAAAGCAGGCUAAAACAUCGCCUGAAUACUGUGUGCAUGGAAUAAUGGAAUAGGACCUCGGUUCUAUUUUGUUGGUUUUCGGAACCCCGAGGUAAUGAUUAAUAGGAACGGAUGGGGGCAUUCGUAUUGCGACGUUAGAG
Molecule: ribosomal RNA, 932 nt
Filed under: Lepanus occidentalis
Lineage: Eukaryota; Metazoa; Arthropoda; Insecta; Coleoptera; Scarabaeidae
Description: SSU rRNA
Rfam family: Eukaryotic small subunit ribosomal RNA
Source: RNAcentral